Molecule: unclassified non-coding RNA, 863 nt
Filed under: Apis dorsata (giant honeybee)
Lineage: Eukaryota; Metazoa; Arthropoda; Insecta; Hymenoptera; Apidae
Description: polyadenylate-binding protein 2-B, transcript variant X3
Source: RNAcentral
UUUUGUUCGUCUCGUUCAGUAGUAGCGUCAAUCUCGUUUAUCGAGUUUGUAGAAUUGUGAAGUGUUGAUUAAAGAUAUAUAAUUAUUAAAUUUAUCAUAAAAUUAUUAUUUUAGAUAAUAAAAACGUCCGAAGAAAUGUCUGAAUCGGAUCUUUUAGCUGCUGAUCACAUUGAUGGUCUAGAUGGACUUGAAAAUGGUCAAGAUGGAGAUGCCAUUAUGCAAUGUGAUGGUGUAAAACGUGAAUUAAAUGAAGCAAAUAUUGAUGAUCCGGAAUUAGAAGCUAUUAAAGCACGUGUUAGAGAAAUGGAAGAAGAAGCAGAAAAAUUAAAACAAUUACAAUCUGAAGUGGACAAACAAAUGAAUAUGGGUAGUCCACCUGGAAUAACAAGUCCAUUAAAUAUGUCACUUGAAGACAAAAUGGAAGUUGAUAAUAGAUCCAUUUAUGUUGGUAAUGUUGAUUAUGGCGCUACAGCAGAAGAAUUAGAACAACAUUUUCAUGGCUGUGGCAGUGUUAAUAGAGUAACAAUAUUGUGCAAUAAAUUUGAUGGACAUCCCAAAGGUUUUGCUUAUAUAGAAUUUGCAGAACGUGAUUCUGUACAAACAGCUAUGGCUAUGGAUGAAUCUAUGUUUAGAGGACGUCAAAUUAAAGUAAUGCCUAAAAGAACAAAUAAUUUAUAGGGGACCACGAGGAACACGAGGCUACCGAGGUAUAGCCAGAGGAAUCAUACGUGGUAGUGCAUAUUUUGGAUAUAGACCUAUAAGGCGACCUAGGAGCUACAGACGAGGAUAUUAUAUGCCGUAUUGACCGUUUUAAUAUAUUGUAUUGGAAUUUUACAAUUGAGAAAAAAAAACUGAUACGAUGG